Megalopta genalis is the source of this 1362-nucleotide non-coding RNA. NCBI's taxonomy places the organism in Eukaryota, Metazoa, Arthropoda, Insecta, Hymenoptera, Halictidae. The record is from RefSeq and is a predicted model, not a curated record.
AUUUGUCCUAGUUUUUUAAGAGUUAUUGCAUUUUAAGAAAUGUCAUUAUCCAUGUAUGUCUUUGUUAAUUUUUCGAGUAGCUUUUUCUUCCGCCGAUUAUGCAAGGAGAUUCUGCGACAACGAAGUGACUAGUGUUAAAAACUAGUAGAUUCUAGAUAAGUAUAUAAAGGUCUGUCGUCACUUUUGAAUAUAAUAGAUACAACAGUUACUUCUAGGUCAGUUACAAACGUUCGACUAACAAAGCUAUUUGAUGAAACAUGAAACUUUCGUCGCACUUUGUAUCUUCGUUACGAUCGUCUACGUGUUCGUAGAAGCAACUCGUGUAAAGGACUCCGCUACCAUACAUGCUGCUUUAACAUUUUGCAACUUCACGAUUAAACUGAAGGAAACGAACAUGUCGGAAGUGUUUGAUACACUCGCACGAAACUUCCCAAAAAUAUUCUAAAAAUUUUAGAUGCCAUUAGAAGAUCCAGAGCUGUAUGAUUAUGUAGUUAGUUUCAAGAUAAAUGUACUUGUUGCAUAUAACAGAGCGCUAAACGUAAUAUGUACUGUUAUGUUAGCUGAAAACAAACGUAUCAAUCCUAUAUGACCAAAUUGAAAUAUUUUUUAAGAAUACCAGAUGAUUAUUGAAGUAUGAUAGUAAUUAUAGAAUUCUUCUCAGAUCAUAUUCUGAAGCGCGAAGCUGGAUAUGACGAAAUGGAAGCACCUUCAAGGAUUGGAGAUGAAUAUGUUCGAGAAGUAGGCGGGAAGAGUUGCGGAGGAGAUUGGUUUUCUCGAACAGUAGGUUUCGAUAAUCUCAAUUGCUAUGCCGACUGCAUUACGAGAAGACCAAAUCGCGAUGGUAGAUGCGUGAAUGGACAAUGUGUUUGCUUCUGAGUGUCUUUUCGAAACAAUUUUCCCAUCUUAUUAUGAAUUUCUGCAUUUCCAUUGGACAUUCUAUGUAUAUAUGUAUAGUUAUUGUUACAGCUACAAUACUAUAAACAAUUUGCAUCCAAAUUCGCGGUUGUUAUAUUUAUUAUUUGAUACAUAAAUCGUUUGUAGUUAUUACUACCAGAAAUGCAUCUUUAUAUCUUUAUUUCUGUUCAUUUCUACAUCAAGAUUAAUUAUUAAUUCAUACAAUUAUAAGAUUUAUAAAUUUUGCGAAUUUCCGAACGAAUGAAAAGGAUAUCUGAAAUAUCGUUGCGUGUACCAAUACUCGGGGGUUAACGUGUCAGAGUGAAUAUGUUAACAAAAGUAACAUCAAACAUUAAUAACGUUGUAUGUAUGAUCCUCAAUAUCACAGAAGCUAAAGCUCCCACAAAAAUAUGCCAAAGGCAAAUAUAUUUAUAUUAUAUAAAUAUAAUAUUGUCCCUUUGAAACAAA